Molecule: ribosomal RNA, 711 nt
Filed under: uncultured fungus
Lineage: Eukaryota; Fungi
Description: SSU rRNA
Rfam family: Eukaryotic small subunit ribosomal RNA
Source: RNAcentral
ACACCGGAGAGGGAGCCUGAGAAACGGCUACCACAUCCAAGGAUGGCAGCAGGCGCGCAAAUUACCCAAUCCCGACACGGGGAGGUAGUGACAAUAAAUAACAAUACGGGGUUCUUUCGGAUCUCGUAAUUGGAAUGAGUACAAUUUAAAUCUCUUAACGAGGAACAAUUGGAGGGCAAGUCUGGUGCCAGCAGCCGCGGUAAUUCCAGCUCCAAUAGCGUAUAUUAAAGUUGUUGCAGUUAAAAAGCUCGUAGUUGAAUUUCGGGGUUAGUAGGUUGGUCAUGCCUCUGGUAUGUACUGAUCUCACUGAUUCCUCCUUCCUGAUGAACCGUAAUGCCAUUAAUUUGGUGUUGCGGGGAAUUUGGACUGUUACUUUGAAAAAAUUAGAGUGUUUAAAGCAAGCUAACGCUUGAAUACAUUAGCAUGGAAUAAUGAAAUAGGACGUUCGAUCCUAUUUUGUUGGUUUCUAGGAUUGACGUAAUGAUUAAUAGGGAUAGUUGGGGGCAUUAGUAUUCAAUUGUCAGAGGUGAAAUUCUUGGAUUUAUUGAAGACUAACUACUGCGAAAGCAUUUGCCAAGGAUGUUCUCAUUAAUCAAGAACGAAAGUUAGGGGAUCGAAGACGAUCAGAUACCGUCGUAGUCUUAACCAUAAACUAUGCCGACUAGGGAUCGGAUGAUGUUAAUUUUUUAAUGACUCAUUCGGCGCCUUACG